Molecule: ribosomal RNA, 395 nt
Filed under: uncultured bacterium
Lineage: Bacteria
Description: partial 16S ribosomal RNA
Rfam family: Bacterial small subunit ribosomal RNA
Source: RNAcentral
CCUACGGGAGGCAGCAGUGAGGAAUAUUGGUCAAUGGCCGAGAGCCUGAACCAGCCAAGUCGCGUGAAGGAAGACUGCCCUAUGGGUUGUAAACUUCUUUUAUAAGGGAAUAAAGUCACCCACGUGUGCGUGUUUGAAAGUACCUUAUGAAUAAGCAUCGGCUAACUCCGUGCCAGCAGCCGCGGUAAUACGGAGGAUCCGAGCGUUAUCCGGAUUUAUUGGGUUUAAAGGGUGCGUAGGGGGGUUUUUAAGUCAGUUGUGAAAGUUUGCGGCUCAACCGUAAAAUUGCCAUUGAUACUGGUGGUCUUGAGUACAGGUGAGGUAGGCGGAAUUCGUGGUGUAGCGGUGAAAUGCAUAGAUAUCACGAAGAACUCCGAUUGCGAAGGCAGCUUACU